RNAcentral lists this ribosomal RNA (445 nucleotides) under uncultured bacterium. RNAcentral describes it as "partial 16S ribosomal RNA". It matches the Rfam family "Bacterial small subunit ribosomal RNA", at positions 330 to 792 of the family's 1533-position model. The record is from RNAcentral.
ACCAGACUCCUACGGGAGGCAGCAGUGGGGGAUAUUGCACAAUGGGGGGAACCCUGAUGCAGCGACGCCGCGUGGGUGAAGAAGCGCCUCGGCGCGUAAAGCCCUGUCAGCAGGGAAGAAAAUGACGGUACCUGAAGAAGAAGCCCCGGCUAACUACGUGCCAGCAGCCGCGGUAAUACGUAGGGGGCAAGCGUUAUCCGGAUUUACUGGGUGUAAAGGGGGCGCAGACGGCAGCGCAAGCCAGGAGUGAAAGCCCGGGGCCCAACCCCGGGACUGCUCUUGGAACUGCGCGGCUGGAGUGCAGGAGGGGCAGGCGGAAUUCCUGGUGUAGCGGUGAAAUGCGUAGAUAUCAGGAGGAACACCGGUGGCGAAGGCGGCCUGCUGGACUGCGACUGACGUUGAGGCCCGAAAGCGUGGGGAGCAAACAUGAUUAGAUCCCCCAGUA